GGAAUUACUGGGCGUAAAGCGCACGUAGGCGGUCUUUUAAGUCAGAGGUGAAAGCCCGGGGCUCAACUCCGGAAUUGCCUUUGAAACUGGAAGACUUGAACACGGGAGAGGUGAGUGGAAUUCCGAGUGUAGAGGUGAAAUUCGUAGAUAUUCGGAGGAUCACCAGUGGCGAGGGCGGCUCACUGGACCGUUGUUGACGCUGAGGUGCGAAAGCGUGGGGAGC
Molecule: ribosomal RNA, 223 nt
Filed under: uncultured bacterium
Lineage: Bacteria
Description: partial 16S ribosomal RNA
Rfam family: Bacterial small subunit ribosomal RNA
Source: RNAcentral